This 97-nucleotide non-coding RNA is filed under the name Palpitomonas bilix. The record is from RNAcentral.
GUCUUGCAUCUUCCCUUUUUUUUAAAUGUUUUUCUUUCUUUGCCUAUUUUUUAUUCUUUUUGAUUAUAAUUUAGACGUGAAAUGGAUGUCUGAUGUG